GGGGCUUUUGGGGCUGAUCGGGUUUUGCCAUUCCUAACAGCAUCAAAAAUGUUCUCUAAGAGAAUACAAUCAUUGCCACAAAUCUAGAAAGUUACUGUUAUAGCUUGAUUUUAACCAAAAUGCUAUGCAGGUAGAGACAAUUACAAGCAAUAGCAUUUAUGAGCACUCAGGUCAAUUAAUAACUAAGGACGACAUGAAGAAAUUCAGACUAAGAUGCAGCCUAAGUGGUAUUUAUUCAUAUUGAAGCCUUACAAGCCAAAAAGGAAGCCUAAUAGAACCAGAAGGGAAGAACAUAGCAUAAAAGCCAUAAAAUACAGUGGCCUUUAAAGCCGGCCAAACCAAAUUGUUGCGGUAAGGCUUUGCCACACACAUAUAAAUCUCAUGUUAAAAAUGAUAUUGCACACCCAUCAAAUUC
This 415-nucleotide unclassified non-coding RNA is filed under the name Hevea brasiliensis (rubber tree). Lineage: Eukaryota; Viridiplantae; Streptophyta; Magnoliopsida; Malpighiales; Euphorbiaceae. The record is from RNAcentral.